UACAGAGGUGGCAAGCGUUGUUCGGAAUUACUGGGCGUAAAGGGCGCGUAGGCGGCCUUCUAAGUCAGACGUGAAAUCCCCCGGCUUAACCUGGGAACUGCGUCCGAUACUGGCGGGCUUGAAUCCGGGAGAGGGAUGCGGAAUUCCAGGUGUAGCGGUGAAAUGCGUAGAUAUCUGGAGGAACACCGGUGGCGAAGGCGGCAUCCUGGACCGGCAUUGACGCUGAGGCGCGAAAGCUAGGGGAGCAAACGGG
Molecule: ribosomal RNA, 253 nt
Filed under: uncultured bacterium
Lineage: Bacteria
Description: partial 16S ribosomal RNA
Rfam family: Bacterial small subunit ribosomal RNA
Source: RNAcentral